This 27-nucleotide small RNA is filed under the name Bombyx mori (domestic silkworm). RNAcentral describes it as "ovarian small RNA-11670". Lineage: Eukaryota; Metazoa; Arthropoda; Insecta; Lepidoptera; Bombycidae. The record is from RNAcentral.
ACUCGAACGACCUCCGGGAGUGCGCAC